GGAUAACAUACCCUUAGGACCGGGAUAACCCUGGGAAACUGGGGAUAAUACUGGAUAGGCAAUUUUUCCUGUAAUGGUUUUUUGUUUAGAUGUUUUUUCGCCUAAGGAUGGGUCUGCGGCCGAUUAGGUAGUUGGUUAGGUAAUGGCUUACCAAGCCGUUGAUCGGUACGGGUUGUGAGAGCAAGAGCCCGGAGAUGGAACCUGAGACAAGGUUCCAGGCCCUACGGGGUGCAGCAGGCGCGAAACCUCCGCAAUGUGAGAAAUCGCGACGGGGGGAUCCCAAGUGCCAUUCUUAACGGGAUGGCUUUUCAUUAGUGUAAAGAGCUUUUGGAAUAAGGGCUGGGCAAGACCGGUGCCAGCCGCCGCGGUAACACCGGCAGCUCUAGUGGUAGCAGUUUUUAUUGGGCCUAAAGCGUCCGUAGCCGGUUUAAUAAGUCUCUGGUGAAAUCCUGUAGCUUAACUGUGGGAAUUGCUGGAGAUACUAUUAGACUUGAGACCGGGAGAGGUUAGAGGUACUCCCAGGGUAGAGGUGAAAUUCUGUAAUCCUGGGAGGACCGCCUGUUGCGAAGGCGUCUAACUGGAACGGUUCUGACGGUGAGGGACGAAAGUUAGGGGCGCGAACCGGAUUAGAUACCCGGGUAGUCCUAACUGUAAACGAUGCGGACUUGGUGUUGGGGUGGCUUUGAGCUGCUCCAGUGCCGAAGGGAAGCUGUUAAGUCCGCCGCCUGGGAAGUACGGUCGCAAGACUGAAACUUAA
This 757-nucleotide ribosomal RNA is filed under the name uncultured archaeon. RNAcentral describes it as "bacterial SSU rRNA". It matches the Rfam family "Archaeal small subunit ribosomal RNA", at positions 102 to 859 of the family's 1478-position model. The record is from RNAcentral.